CUUGUAGGUUGCCUUUUAAGUCAGGUGUGAAAUCGUCCCGCUUAACGGGACAAUUGCAUUUGAUACUGAUUGGCUUGAGUGCAGAAAGGGAAACUGGAAUUUCCGGUGUAGCGGUGAAAUGCGUAGAUAUCGGAAAGAACACCAGUGGCGAAAGCGGGUUUCUGGUCUGCAACUGACACUGAGGAGCGAAAGCCAGGGGAGCAAACG
RNAcentral lists this ribosomal RNA (207 nucleotides) under uncultured bacterium. RNAcentral's name for it is "partial 16S ribosomal RNA". It matches the Rfam family "Bacterial small subunit ribosomal RNA", at positions 568 to 774 of the family's 1533-position model. The record is from RNAcentral.